UAGGGAAUCUUCCACAAUGGACGCAAGUCUGAUGGAGCAACGCCGCGUGAGUGAAGACGGUUUUCGGAUCGUAAAGCUCUGUUGUUGGUGAAGAAGGAUAGAGGCAGUAACUGGUCUUUAUUUGACGGUAAUCAACCAGAAAGUCACGGCUAACUACGUGCCAGCAGCCGCGGUAAUACGUUGGUGGCAAGCGUUGUCCGGAUUUAUUGGGAGUAAAGCGAGCGCAGGCGGAAUGAUAAGUCUGAUGUGAAAGCCCACGGCUCCACCGUGGAACAGCGGCGGAAACUGUCAUUCUUGAGUGCAGAAGAGGAGAGUGGAAUUCCAUGUGUAGCGGUGGAAUGCGUAGAUAUAUGGAAGAACACCAGUGGCGAAGGCGGCUCUCUGGACUGCAACUGACGCUGAGGCUCGAAAGCAUGGGGAGCGAACAGG
RNAcentral lists this ribosomal RNA (429 nucleotides) under bacterium. RNAcentral's name for it is "partial 16S ribosomal RNA". It matches the Rfam family "Bacterial small subunit ribosomal RNA", at positions 355 to 776 of the family's 1533-position model. The record is from RNAcentral.